AACGCACAUUGCGCCUGCCAGUACUCUGGCAGGCAUGCUUGCCCGAGCGUCAUUUCAACCCUCAAGCCCUGGCUGCUUGGUGUUGGGGCGAAUCUGCGGCCCUGCCGCAGGCCCUGAAGACGAGUGGCGGACCCCUAAGGCACCCCAGCGUAGUACUUUUCUUAGCUUGGGGUUCCCUGUGGGUGUUCUGUCGGUGGUAACACCCUUCUGUUUUUAACACAACUGGUUGACCUCGGAUCAAGUAGGAAUACCCGCUGAACUUAA
This 264-nucleotide unclassified non-coding RNA is filed under the name uncultured fungus. RNAcentral describes it as "sequence contains ITS2". Lineage: Eukaryota; Fungi. The record is from RNAcentral.